CGGUUGAUCCCGCCGGACCUGACUGCUAUCGGAUUGAUACUAAGCCAUGCGAGUCAUUGUAGCAAUACAAGGCAGACGGCUCAGUAACGCGUAGUCAACCUAACCUAUGGACGGGAAUAACCUCGGGAAACUGAGAAUAAUGCCCGAUAGAACACUAUAUCUGGAAUGGUUUGUGUUCCAAAUGAUUUAUCGCCGUAGGAUGGGACUGCGGCCUAUCAGUUUGUUGGUGAGGUAAUGGCCCACCAAGACUAUUACAGGUACGGGCUCUGAGAGGAGUAGCCCGGAGAUGGGUACUGAGACACGGACCCAGGCCCUAUGGGGCGCAGCAGGCGAGAAAACUUUGCAAUGUGCGAAAGCACGACAAGGUUAAUCCGAGUGGUUUGUGCUAAACGAAUCUUUUGUCGGUCCUAGAAACACCGAUGAAUAAGGGGUGGGCAAGUUCUGGUGUCAGCCGCCGCGGUAAAACCAGCACCUCAAGUGGUCAGGAUGAUUAUUGGGCCUAAAGCAUCCGUAGCCGGCGCUGUAAGUUUUCGGUUAAAUCUGUACGCUCAACGUACAGGCUGCCGGGAAUACUGCAGCGCUAGGGAGUGGGAGAGGUAGACGGUACUCGGUAGGAAGGGGUAAAAUCCUUUGAUCUAUUGAUGACCACCUGUGGCGAAGGCGGUCUACCAGAACACGUCCGACGGUGAGGGAUGAAAGCUGGGGGAGCAAACCGGAUUAGAUACCCGGGUAGUCCCAGCUGUAAACUAUGCAAACUCAGUGACGCAUUGGCUUGUGGCCAAUGCAGUGCUGCAGGGAAGCCGUUAAGUUUGCCGCCUGGGAAGUACGUACGCAAGUAUGAAACUUAAAGGAAUUGGCGGGGGAGCACCACAAGGGGUGAAGCCUGCGGUUCAAUUGGAGUCAACGCCGGAAAU
RNAcentral lists this ribosomal RNA (914 nucleotides) under uncultured archaeon. Its description in RNAcentral is "bacterial SSU rRNA". It matches the Rfam family "Archaeal small subunit ribosomal RNA", at positions 5 to 925 of the family's 1478-position model. The record is from RNAcentral.